GUUUCGCUGGGCCUGGGGAGGGGCUCGGGGGUUGGUGGCUGUCCCACUCCGCCCCCACUCAUUUUCCUGAGAGAUCUCUCACUCCGACUUGGCCUCGGGCCCUGGGUGUGCACUGGGAAGCUGUGCAGUAUCAGAGGGACAGAAUGACCUUCCGGCCCUGAGUCCCUGUUUCCGAAUGGUAUAAUGAAGGAAGAGGAGCACAGUACCUGAUUGAGCAAGGCUGCCUGUGAGCGGUGUUCUGAUCCACCUCCUCUCCGGAGGCCCUGAGGAGGAUUGGAUAGUGUCUGCAUUUUAAGUACCUCGCAGCAAUCCUAGUUCCUAUCAUGGGACAUAUAUUUAGCAAAACAUCCAAUCCAUUCUGCGAUUUGGACGUGGCCCUACCAGAAACUAACAUAAUGCUCUAUGUCAAUUAUCUCAAUUAAAAAAAUUUGACAUGGCCCUGAAAAUCCCUUUUAUAGCAGAGAGGGGGAAAUAGUACCGGCAGAACAUAAGAUGGUGAGGAUGCCUCACCCUAUAUGACACAUGAGACAAUGCUCUGCUACACCUCCACCCCACCAUUUGCACGUCUGAAUCUGGCAAAGAGCAUAGAGAGAUAUGCAGGCCUCCUCUUCCGCAAUCAAAAAAGAGUGCCACGUGGAGGCAGAGACAGAAUAGGUUGUAGGGAGAGGAAGGGGACAGUUUCCAUAGCAACUAGCAAGAUCCUCAGUAUAACUGGUCAGCGGCAGUUAACUAUAAGCUCUGCUUUCAUCAAGUCUGACAAAGAGGUUAGACAAUAGCUCUGAUUGGUAUGGGGAAGGACUACACACUAAUGAGAAUGGUAGGAGCAGAAAUUCAGAGCGGUGAUCGCAGACUUGCUAGAAUUGGCAUUUAUUAAUUAGACCUGCAAAUAUAGACUGUAAUAGUACUGAAAGAUAACUAUAGAGUCUUGGCAUCUAUGCUGAAGAAUUUUACAACUGAAGGCAGAAAACACCAAUGCACAUAUGUGCAAGGCAUAGAAAGGUGAAUAAAAAUGUUAAAGAAAUACGUUUAUAUAUGAAUUGCAAAGUGUAUAAAACUCUAUUUUGUGUUUAGGAAUAGUGUGCUGUGGCAGGAGCAUUCAAAGGCCUAUCUGCUUGGAAACAUGAUAUACAUGAUAGUGAGACAUUUGCAGUCGUGUGUUAGUGGUUAUUAAACCCACUGUAGUGUUUCAUUUAACUGUUUACACACUGAACUGACCAGGUAUGAUCCUUUGGGAACUCUCCUUUUCUCUAGUUUCUUCCACACACUUUGUCAUACAGCAUUGACAGACAAAGUGGUUACAACCAAUGCUUUCCAAACCAUUUGUGGUGAAGGACCCUUGAACUGUAGAAGGGGUCUUUAAGGAUCCAUCACUGAAAAAGGAGGUUAGAGGAGAUGUAAAAGGAAGAUACCAUUGUAGGUUCUUUCCUUGGGUGUGCACUAGAGUGGGCACAAGUCAGAAGAUAGUAUGAAUCUCAACUGGUUUGAAAGGUAGUUGUAGCCUUGGCUAAGUUUAAGCCAGUUAAGAGAUUCUCAACCCCUAGGCCUUCAUCAGUUCAAAAUACAUAGUGAUAAGUACCCAAAAGGUAAAUCAUACACAUGCUUAACAAAGUGAAGGGGCAUCUCUAAAUUUUUUGUGAAAAUAAUUUCAUUUUGGUAUUUAAAUUAUUGAAGUUGUCCUCAUGAGAGAAAUCAGAAUUUUAUUGGAGUUAAUUACUCUUACCUUGAAUUAUUUAUGUGUGGCAGAGGAAGGUACCACAGUCCUGUCAAUGCUUAAGAUCUCCAUAGGACUUAAAGCUAGCUCUGAUAAUUCAUAAAGAAAAAAUACUGGCUCCUUCCUGCUAGCCUGAUGAAUGUCUUUAGUUUUUCUGGGGGACUGAGCUCAUUUGGCAGAAUUCCAGCCUGCUCUGCUGAAGCGCAUGGUCUUAUCAAGCAAAAUAUCCAAGAUGAGAUGUAUGCAGCUCACAUUCCCACCCCGUAUUCAGUUCUGCCUAUAAAAUGUUCCUUACGCAGGGAGAGUUGUGUUGGAUUACAGGAUCACUGUGUCAGAAGCUUAUCCUUGGCUUUUGGGGAAAAUAGUAUGAUCAUAAUGUAUACCAGCAACCACAGGGUCACCUCUUAGCACAAACACUGGUAUUUUUGCAAAGGCACUGAGCAACAUAACCUUUAACAAGGCACUGAGUAAAAUAAUCUCUAAAAAGUUUGAGAUGGGGAGAAGUCUGCAUUUAUUACUAUGUCGGGCACACAGAGGAGUCCAACAGUAAACAUUUGUUGGAUAAUUUCCCUAGUUAUUCUUUGUCCAUUAAGUAACGGGAAGAUCAAAGGCACUGGGUUUACCCUCCCUGUACAGAGCAUUACAAAGGACAAGGAGGAAAUCCCCUUUUUUCCUCCCUCACUCUCCACACUCUUUUAUUUAUUUAUUUGUUUGGGCCACACCUACAGCAUAUGGAAGUUCCCAGGCUAGGGAUCAAAUCAGAGCUACAGCUGCCAGCCCAUACCACAGCCACAGCAAUGCGGGAUCCGAGCCACAUCUGUGACCUACACCACAGCUCACAGCAACGCCUGAUCCUCAGCCCAUUGAGUGAGGCAAGGGAUUGAACCUGCAUCCUCAUGGAUACUAGUCGGAUUCGUUUCUGCUGUGUCACAACAGGAACUCCUGCCACGCUCUUCAUUUUAAGAAAGUGAUUUGAGUCCCCAAAGUGAAAAAGAGCCAUUUAUAGGUACUAUUUUCUCCUGUUCAUUCCAUUAGCCUCCGAGAUGGAGGUUAGUGUUUGGCCUCCGAUACUACCUUUUCCUUUAGUCUUAACAAAGCUACCCCUUACUGUAAGGAUCUCUAAGAAUUUUCUUGUCAUAGUUAAGAGGAUGGUGGUAAAAAGAAUCUAAAUACAUAACUUACUUUUGGGGCUGUGCCUGUGUAUGCAUCUUUUGUUUCCAAGAUAUUCAUAGAAUAGAGUUACUUUUCUUCAAGGAAUACUUGAUUUGCAGAAAUAUUGUUCCCUCUAUAGUUAUGCAAAGUCACAAAUACUUUUUCUCUGUCUUCUCAUCAGUUCUUUCUUGAACAUCCUUCAUCAUAUGCCCCAACUUCCCUUUCUAACAAUACUUCCUGCAAAUUCCUUGCAUUAACCUCUUAUGCAGUCAGUCUGAGCCACUUGCCUUUCCCUUAGUCCUUCUGGUACUUCCUGUUCAGGUGUCUCUUUUUCCUUGAAUGCAUUGUUAUCCUUAAUUCUCAUCUAGGGAUUUAUUUACAUCUACCUUUAUGAUUUACUUUAUUUGUGGAAAGUAAGAUUCCAUCUCAUUCUACAAAGAAUUUAAGAAGUAUGGGCUAACUCAAACACAGCUGCUUCUCUGAAACUGACUUCCCCUCUUGCUGACUGUGUGAACUUAGGCAAGUCAUUUGUCCUCUCUAUGCUUUAAUUCUCUAGUAAAAUUAUAAUAGGAGUUCCCAUCGUGGCUCAGUGGUGAUGAAUCCGACUGGUAUCCAUGAGUACGUGGGUUUGAUCCCUGGCCUCAUUCAGUGGGUUAAGGAUCCAGCGUUGCAGUGAGCUGUGGUGUAGGUCACAGAUGCAUCUCGGAUCCCAGUGUUGCUGUGGCUGUGGUGUAGACCUGCAGCUACAGUUCUGAUUCAUCCCCUAGGCUGGAAACUUCCAUAUGCAGUGGUGUGCCCCUAAAAAGACGAAAAAAAAUAUUAAUAAUAGCACUCCACCUUAUGGUUUUUUGCAAAUUAAGUUGGGGAGUUCUCACUCUGGUGCAAUGGGAUAAGUGGUGCCUCUGGUAUGCACUGUGGGUUAAGGAUCC
This 3792-nucleotide long non-coding RNA is filed under the name Sus scrofa (pig). RNAcentral's name for it is "lncRNA (ENSSSCG00055020729.1)". Lineage: Eukaryota; Metazoa; Chordata; Mammalia; Artiodactyla; Suidae. The record is from RNAcentral.